UCUAAUACCGGAUACUGAKCAUCUUGGGCAUCCUUGGUGAUCGAAAGCUCCGGCGGUGCAGGAUGAGCCCGCGGCCUAUCAGCUUGUUGGUGAGGUAAUGGCUCACCAAGGCGACGACGGG
This 121-nucleotide ribosomal RNA is filed under the name Streptomyces capillispiralis. RNAcentral describes it as "partial 16S rRNA". It matches the Rfam family "Bacterial small subunit ribosomal RNA", at positions 162 to 283 of the family's 1533-position model. The record is from RNAcentral. Lineage: Bacteria; Bacillati; Actinomycetota; Actinomycetes; Kitasatosporales; Streptomycetaceae.